RNAcentral lists this ribosomal RNA (439 nucleotides) under uncultured bacterium. RNAcentral's name for it is "bacterial SSU rRNA". It matches the Rfam family "Bacterial small subunit ribosomal RNA", at positions 954 to 1392 of the family's 1533-position model. The record is from RNAcentral.
GCAUAACGCGAAGAACCUUACCAGGCCUUGACAUGCAGAGAACUUUCCAGAGAUGGAUUGGUGCCUUCGGGAACUCUGACACAGGUGCUGCAUGGCUGUCGUCAGCUCGUGUCGUGAGAUGUUGGGUUAAGUCCCGUAACGAGCGCAACCCUUGUCCUUAGUUACCAGCACGUUAUGGUGGGCACUCUAAGGAGACUGCCGGUGACAAACCGGAGGAAGGUGGGGAUGACGUCAAGUUAUCAUGGCCCUUACGGCCUGGGCUACACACGUGCUACAAUGGUCGGUACAGAGGGUUGCCAAGCCGCGAGGUGGAGCUAAUCCCAUAAAACCGAUCGUAGUCCGGAUCGCAGUCUGCAACUCGACUGCGUGAAGUCGGAAUCGCUAGUAAUCGCGAAUCAGAAUGUCGCGGUGAAUACGUUCCCGGGUCUUGUACACACCG